GACGAACGCUGGCGGCGUGCCUAAUACAUGCAAGUAGAACGCACAGUUUAUACCGUAGCUUGCUACACCAUAGACUGUGAGUUGCGAACGGGUGAGUAACGCGUAGGUAACCUGCCUGGUAGCGGGGGAUAACUAUUGGAAACGAUAGCUAAUACCGCAUAAUAUUAAUUAUUGCAUGAUAAUUAAUUGAAAGGUGCAAUUGCACCACUACCAGAUGGACCUGCGUUGUAUUAGCUAGUAGGUGAGGUAACGGCUCACCUAGGCGACGAUACAUAGCCGACCUGAGAGGGUGAGCGGCCACACUGGGACUGAGACACGGCCCAGACUCCUACGGGAGGCAGCAGUAGGGAAUCUUCGGCAAUGGACGAAAGUCUGACCGAGCAACGCCGCGUGAGUGAAGAAGGUUUUCGGAUCGUAAAGCUCUGUUGUAAGAGAAGAACGGGUGUGAGAGUGGAAAGUUCACACUGUGACGGUAUCUUACCAGAAAGGGACGGCUAACCACGUG
RNAcentral lists this ribosomal RNA (505 nucleotides) under uncultured bacterium. Its description in RNAcentral is "partial 16S ribosomal RNA". It matches the Rfam family "Bacterial small subunit ribosomal RNA", at positions 28 to 507 of the family's 1533-position model. The record is from RNAcentral.